GCCUCCACCAUGCUACCCUGAAUAAGCUUGAUCUCGGAAGCUAAGCAGAGUCGGGCCUAGUUAGUACUUGGAUGGGAGACCACCUAGGAAGACCAGGUGCUGUAGGCC
Molecule: ribosomal RNA, 108 nt
Filed under: Pteropus alecto (black flying fox)
Lineage: Eukaryota; Metazoa; Chordata; Mammalia; Chiroptera; Pteropodidae
Source: RNAcentral